Molecule: ribosomal RNA, 195 nt
Filed under: uncultured bacterium
Lineage: Bacteria
Description: partial 16S ribosomal RNA
Rfam family: Bacterial small subunit ribosomal RNA
Source: RNAcentral
GCAACUCGCCUGCAUGAAGUCGGAAUUGCUAGUAAUCGCAGAUCAGCAUGCUGCGGUGAAUACGUUCCCGGGCCUUGUACACACCGCCCGUCACACCAUGGGAGCUGGUAACACCCGAAGUCAGUAGUCUAACCGCAAGGAGGACGCUGCCGGAAGGUGGGAUUAGCGACUGGGGUGAAGUCGUAACAAGGUAGC